UCUCCUCCUACCCAAAAUACCAUCGUACCAGCUGCAUUUCUUUUAUCUCUCGCCUUACUCUCUUUCCUCUCCGGUAUCCCUAUGUUACCACUUACCAUAACCCUUCGUUACACACCAUCCACUGGAAACACUAACCUUAAGUUACCUCCACCAUCUCCCCCUAUGUUGCCUCUCUUCUACCUUCUCUUAUGACAAGAAACCCUAACAGUCUCCACAACCCUAACCGUCACCACCAGCGAAGAGGUGAGGACAAGGACAAUGAUAAGCCAUCGAUUUCUGAUUCAUCUCUCUCCUUCAUUCCUUAGUUGUUAUAGGCAUUUACCUCGUAAGUUUUUCCAAUCUUUUUUCUAUUUGACUUGAUUCUCACAUCAUCUCAACCAAUCUUUUUUUUUCAUCUCUCUCCUUCCUGUUUUGAUUCAAAUUUUUGGUUAUAGGAGUUUUACUCUGAUUUUUUAUUAUAGAAAUUUUACUGGUUCACAGGAUCAAAUUUUGAUAUUUUACAACAACCUAAUUUUUUUUCAGGUUACUGCCAUCGAAUUCACAUACAAUAUAGGUAAACUCUCUCUCUCUCUCUCUCUCUCUCUCUCUCUCUCUCUCUCCCCCCUGAUUCCUCUCUUUUUAUUGUUUAGAGAAUUACAAUAGGAGGUCCACACGGAGUGGUCUCAGUGGGGAGGCUGUAAUGGGUUACGAUUUUUAGUGAUGGAGGAUAGUGGUUGAUGGUGAUUAAGAUGGGCUGUGACAAUGGCGGUAUAAGGUGGGUUUGGUGGUGGGUAUCAUGGCAAUAACCAUGGCACCACCACUCUUCCAAAACAAGUCAUAUGUAACACCGUAAAAAUUAAAACAAUUUUUCACAUUUUCAAAACACAAUUUUCAUUUACAAUUAUUAAUAAAAUCUCAUUGUAUCAUAUCUCUGUUCCACAAAACAUUUCCCAAGAUCGAAAUACAUAAAACUCCAUGCGUGUGUACGAAUCAUGCUGGCGCCUUCCCGCGAUCCUCACUAGUACCUGAAACACAUAACACAAAACACUGUAAGCACGAAGCUUAGUGAGUUCCCCGAAAUACCACUCUAACACAUAUUACCCACUUAGGGCUAUAACUCUGCUGACCCUCUCGUCAGUGCGUCUCAUUGGGACCCUCUAGUCCCAACUCUCUGUGGGCCCUCUAGCCCUAACUCUAUGGACCCACUGGUCCUAUCUCUGAAAACUCUGAAUCAUGCAUAUCACAUAUCACAAUAACACAUAAAUAGCAUAAAAAUACACUGGAACAUAACUCAACAGUACACUAGCACAUAACUCUGUUACCAUUCUAGGUAAAGUAUAGUGAGAAGACUCACCUCAGAUGUCUCGGUAAAUCUCUAACUCCGUAGAAAUAUGGUCUAGCCUCCGCCUAAUCACAUAAAGUAAAAACUCUCAUAAAUAUAACUCUCGAGACUAGACUCAACCCUCUCGUGGCACCCUCAGAAGGGUAAAAGACCAUUUUACCCCUCUCUUGACACAAAGACCCCAUUGUUGACCAAACCCUCAAAGUCAACGGUCAAACUUGACCCGACUCGCCGAGUGCACUUGGGCGACUCGGCGAGUCUAUGCGUGUCCACUAUCCCUCUAGUCUCGCAUGACGCGUCGAGUCUUUCCCCUGCUCGACGGGUUACACCUGGCAUGAAUCGCGGGGCCACCCCGACUCAACUCGCCGAGUCCCAUUAUGAACUCGGCGAGUUCCGCCUUGAGCUCCAGUCCUCUAUUUCCCUCAGACUCACUGAGUCAUUCCCCCAACUCGACAAGUUACUUACUGAGUGAACUAUGGGAAACCCUAGCCCUACUCGUCGAGUCUGUUCUUGGGACUCGGCAAGUUCAUUCCUUGCUCAAGCUCAAAUGACCUCCUGAGGUCAGAUCCGUUCCUCUAACCCAUAGAUAUGGCCUCUUUAAGCAAUAUAAACACGUAAAGUCUGGAUGUUAAUGCCCAUGGAAAGACCCAAUGGCUCUAUUUGAAGAAAUGGCCUCGAUAUGUCACCCUAAGCUCAUAUUACCCAAUGUCACCCCAUAAAGAUCAGUGAGAUAAGGUCUCUAGACCUCUUUGGAUCCAAAUCCAAAGCCUCAACACAAGAAGGGACCAAUUGCACGAUCAUUCACACUCUAAAUGGGCUAGAAACCCUACCUAUCAAGGAUUAACACCCAAAACUGAAGAAGGAUCGAAUAUAUACCUCAAUAUGAAGUUCUUAGGCUCUGAAAUCCAUAAAAUAGCACCCUCUCCAGCUCCCUCUUGCCUUGGUCACCUUGUUCUUGAAAAAACACCCACACAAGGAUCAAAAAUGGCUUCUCCUUCCUCACGAACGCUCUAGGUCGCUUAGGGUUUCACUCAGGGGUCUGGUAGCCACAAUUGGUGGCUAUAAUCCCCUUUAAAUAGGUCUCAAACCCCGGGGAUUAGGGUUUCAUUAAACAGCACGGACUCGCUGAGUCCACUAGUCGACUCGCCGAGUCCGGUCAUUAAACCGGAUAAAAUUCGUGAUCCUACUCGGUGAGUCUAAGCGUCAACUCGCCGAGUCCCUCCAAAAUCUCCAAAAUAAAUGAAUAAUUAAUGUACCUAGAAAUCCGGAUGUUACACCAUAAUUCCCAGUUCAAAGAAGAAAUGAAUCAGGUAUGUGUUUCCUUUUAAUUUUCCUCUCUUCACUAUACAUAAAAAUUAGGUGUGUAUUCAUGAUUUGUUUAUGUGUGUGUUUGCGUUUAAUAGUUUUUUUAAAAAAUUCAUUUGGGAAGUUUCUUUUUUGAUUUGUCUGAUUUGAAAUCUAUUGUCAAUGUAGGUACAUGUCUAAUUUUUGUUUUUAUUAGGAUAUAAAACCGUUGUUCUUCCAGGUGUUGCAAUUUUCACUCCUAAUACUCUCUUCAUUUUGUUCUCGACAGAAAUUUAUUAGGAGGUUUAAUUUUUCUUAUUAAUUAUUUAUUUAUUAUUUUCUAUUCACAAAUGUCCUUAUAAUCGAUAGGAAAGAACAAUCUCAAC
RNAcentral lists this long non-coding RNA (2991 nucleotides) under Lactuca sativa (garden lettuce). Its description in RNAcentral is "long non-coding RNA (LSAT_LNC007904)". Lineage: Eukaryota; Viridiplantae; Streptophyta; Magnoliopsida; Asterales; Asteraceae. The record is from RNAcentral.